This 465-nucleotide ribosomal RNA is filed under the name uncultured bacterium. RNAcentral's name for it is "partial 16S ribosomal RNA". It matches the Rfam family "Bacterial small subunit ribosomal RNA", at positions 28 to 507 of the family's 1533-position model. The record is from RNAcentral.
GACGAACGCUGGCGGCGUGCUUAACACAUGCAAGUCGAACGGAAAGGCCCCUUUGGGGGUACUCGAGUGUCGAACGCGUGAGUAACACUUGAGUAACCUUCCCUUGACUUCGGGAUAACUUCAGGAAACUGGGGCUAAUACCGGAUAGGGAUCCUUGCUGCAUGGUGGGGGUUGGAUAGCUUCGGCGGUUUUUGAUGGACUCGCGGCUUAGCAGCUUGUCGGGGCGGUAGUGGCUUACCAAGGCUUUGACGGGUAGCGGGACUGAGAGGGCGACCGGCGACACUGGGUCUGAGAUACGGCCCAGACUGCUACGCGAGGCAGAAGUGGGAAAUACUGCACAAUGAGCGCCACCGGGAUGAAGAAAGUCGGCGGGCGGGAUAACGGCCUUCGGAUUGAAGACCGAAUUCAGAAGGGGCGAAGCUUGUGGUGACGGUACCUACAGAGAAAGCAGCGGCUAACUACGUG